RNAcentral lists this ribosomal RNA (1053 nucleotides) under Escherichia coli. RNAcentral describes it as "bacterial SSU rRNA". It matches the Rfam family "Bacterial small subunit ribosomal RNA", at positions 56 to 1060 of the family's 1533-position model. Lineage: Bacteria; Pseudomonadati; Pseudomonadota; Gammaproteobacteria; Enterobacterales; Enterobacteriaceae. The record is from RNAcentral.
GGAGGGUCGGCUUCCUUUUCCGUGUUUGUGGACGUGUACAGGAAUAGCUUGCUUUUUCGCUGACGAGUGGCGGACGGGUGAUUUUUGUCUGGGAAACUGCCUGAUGGAGGGGGAUAACUACUGGUUACGGUAGCUAAUACCGCAUAACGUCGCAAGACCAAAGAGGGGGACCUUCGGGCCUCUUGCCAUCGGAUGUGCCCAGAUGGGAUUAGCUAGUAGGUGGGGUAACGGCUCACCUAGGCGACGAUCCCUAGCUGGUCUGAGAGGAUGACCAGCCACACUGGAACUGAGACACGGUCCAGACUCCUACGGGAGGCAGCAGUGGGGAAUAUUGCACAAUGGGCGCAAGCCUGAUGCAGCCAUGCCGCGUGUAUGAAGAAGGCCUUCGGGUUGUAAAGUACUUUCAGCGGGGAGGAAGGGAGUAAAGUUAAUACCUUUGCUCAUUGACGUUACCCGCAGAAGAAGCACCGGCUAACUCCGUGCCAGCAGCCGCGGUAAUACGGAGGGUGCAAGCGUUUAUCGGAAUUACUGGGCGUAAAGCGCACGCAGGCGGUUUGUUAAGUCAGAUGUGAAAUCCCCGGGCUCAACCUGGGAACUGCUUCUGAUACUGGCUAGCUUGAGUCUCGUAGAGGGGGGUAGAAUUCCAGGUGUAGCGGUGAAUUGCGUAGAGAUCUGGAGGAAUACCGGUGGCGAAGGCGGCCCCCUGGACGAAGACUGACGCUCAGGUGCGAAAGCGUGGGGAGCAAACAGGAUUAGAUACCCUGGUAGUCCACGCCGUAAACGAUGUCGACUUUGGAGGUUGUGCCCUUGAGGCGUGGCUUUCCGGAGCUAACGCGUUUAAGUCGACCGCCUGGGGAGUACGGCCGCUAGGUUUAAUACUCAUAAUGUAUUGACGGGGGCCCGCACAAGCGGUGGAGCAUGUGGUUUUAUUUCGAUGCAACGCGAAGUAACCUUACCUGGUCUUUGACAUCCACAGAAACUUUCCAGAAUAUGAAAUAGGUGCCCUCGGGUUACCUGUGGAAGAACUGGUGCUGGCAUGGCCUGUCGUCAGCC